GUUCAACAUGACAAAUGUAACAAAUACCAGUAUAUCUCUGUCGUGGUCACCACCAAGUGAAACCAGAGGAAGUAUAAUUGGAUACAGUUUGAACGUCAGCAGUGGACCAAAUGAUCAGGACUUCCAACUACUUCUAAUUUGUAGUACUUGCAGUUAUAUACAAGAAACGUUGGAAGCUGACGUUGGAAUGAACAUAUCUCUGAACACAAA
This is a long non-coding RNA of Haliotis rubra (blacklip abalone), 210 nucleotides long. RefSeq lists it as uncharacterized. The record is from RefSeq and is a predicted model, not a curated record. The transcript has 2 exons. Lineage: Eukaryota; Metazoa; Mollusca; Gastropoda; Lepetellida; Haliotidae.